UGUCCAGGGAUGGGAAUCGAACCCACAGUGUUCCGCUUACCGAGCAGAUGCCAUGUCUACUAGGCUAUCCUGGAC
This 75-nucleotide transfer RNA is filed under the name Cordylochernes scorpioides. RNAcentral's name for it is "tRNA-Thr". Lineage: Eukaryota; Metazoa; Arthropoda; Arachnida; Pseudoscorpiones; Chernetidae. The record is from RNAcentral.